Molecule: ribosomal RNA, 496 nt
Filed under: uncultured bacterium
Lineage: Bacteria
Description: partial 16S ribosomal RNA
Rfam family: Bacterial small subunit ribosomal RNA
Source: RNAcentral
GACGAACGCUGGCGGCGUGCCUAAUACAUGCAAGUUGAGCGAUGAAGCUUGGUGCUUGCACCAAUUUGAAGAGCAGCGGACGGGUGAGUAACGCGUGGGGAAUCUGCCUUUGAGCGGGGGACAACAUUUGGAAACGAAUGCUAAUACCGCAUAACAACUUUAAACAUAAGUUUUAAGUUUGAAAGAUGCAAUUGCUUCACUCAAUGGUGAUCCCGCGUUGUAUUAGCUAGUUGGUGAGGUAAAGGCUCACCAAGGCGAUGAUACAUAGCCGACCUGAGAGGGUGAUCGGCCACAUUGGAACUGAGACACGGCCCAAACUCCUACGGGAGGCAGCAGUAGGGAAUCUUCGGCAAUGGGCGAAAGUCUGACCGAGCAACGCCGCGUGAGUGAAGAAGGUUUUCGGAUCGUAAAACUCUGUUGGUAGAGAAGAACGUUGGUGUGAGUGGAAAGCUCAUCAAUGGACGGAAACUACCAAGAAGGGGAGGGCAAAUUAGUU